AAGUCGUAACAAGGUUUCCGUAGGUGAACCUGCGGAAGGAUCAUUACAGAGUUCAUGCCCUCACGGGUAGAUCUCCCACCCUUUGAGUACUAUACUUUUGUUGCUUUGGCAGGCCGCUUCGGCUACCGGCUUCGGCUGGUAAGUGCCUGCCAGAGGACCCCAAACUCUGAAUUAUAGUGUCGUCUGAGAACUAUAUAAUAGUUAAAACUUUCAACAACGGAUCUCUUGGUUCUG
Molecule: unclassified non-coding RNA, 234 nt
Filed under: air metagenome
Description: partial contains small subunit ribosomal RNA, internal transcribed spacer 1, and 5.8S ribosomal RNA
Rfam family: Eukaryotic small subunit ribosomal RNA (bases 1-46)
Source: RNAcentral